RNAcentral lists this ribosomal RNA (392 nucleotides) under uncultured bacterium. RNAcentral's name for it is "partial 16S ribosomal RNA". It matches the Rfam family "Bacterial small subunit ribosomal RNA", at positions 523 to 918 of the family's 1533-position model. The record is from RNAcentral.
AUACAGAGGAUCCGAGCGUUAUCCGGAUUUAUUGGGUUUAAAGGGUGCGCAGGCGGCCAUUUAAGUCAGCGGUUAAAUCGUGGGGCUCAACCCCAUUCUGCCGUUGAUACUGGGUGGCUUGAUUGCGGUCGAGGUUGGCGGAAUUCGUUGUGUAGCGGUGAAAAGCAUAGAUAUGACGAAGAACACCGAUUGCGUAGGCAGCUGACCAGACCGCUAAUGACUCUCAUGCACGAAAGUGCGGGGAUCGAACAGGAUUAGAUACCCUGGUAGUCCGCACAGUAAACGAUGAAUACUUGUUUUCGGCGAUAUAAUGUCGGAGGCAAAGCGAAAGCGAUAAGUAUUCCACCUGGGGAGUACGCCUGCAACGGUGAAACUCAAAGGAAUUGACGGGG